RNAcentral lists this ribosomal RNA (1001 nucleotides) under uncultured Halobacteroides sp. RNAcentral's name for it is "bacterial SSU rRNA". It matches the Rfam family "Bacterial small subunit ribosomal RNA", at positions 30 to 1036 of the family's 1533-position model. Lineage: Bacteria; Bacillati; Bacillota; Clostridia; Halanaerobiales; Halobacteroidaceae. The record is from RNAcentral.
CGAACGCUGGCGGCGUGCUUAACACAUGCAAGUUGCGCGAGAAAGCUACCUUCGGGUAGUGAGUAAAGCGGCGAACGGGUGAGUAACGCGUGGGUUACCUACCUCUAAGUUAGGGAUAACUUCUCGAAAGGGAAGCUAAUACCUAAUAUUCUAAAGAUGGCUCUGCUAUCGCUUAGGGAUGGGCCCGCGUCCCAUUAGCUUGUUGGUAGUGUAAGAGACUACCAAAGCAACAAUGGGUAGCCGACCUGAGAGGGUGAUCGGCCACACUGGGACUGAGACACGGCCCAGACUCCUACGGGAGGCUGCAGUGGGGAAUCUUCCGCAAUGAGCGAAAGCUUGACGGAGCAACGCCGCGUGAGUGAUGAAGGCCUUCGGGUCGUAAAGCUCUGUCCUAAGGGAAGAACACCUCAGUAGAUAACAUCUGCUGGGAUUGACGGUACCUUUGGAGGAAGCCUCGGCUAAUUACGUGCCAGCAGCCGCGGUAAUACGUAAGAGGCAAGCGUUGUCCGGAAUCACUGGGCGUGAAGGGUGCGCAGGCGGUCUAGUAAGUCAAGAGUGAAAUCCAUCGGCUCAACCGGUGAACUGCUUUUGAAACUACUAGACUUGAGAAUAGGAGAAGAGAGUGGAAUUCCUGGUGUAGUGGUGAAAUACGUAGAUAUCAGGAAGAAUACCAAUGGCGAAAGCAGCUCUCUAGCCUAAUUCUGACGCUGAGGUACGAAAGCUAGGGUAUCAAACGGGAUUAGAUACCCCGGUAGUCCUAGCUGUAAACGCUGGAUACUAGGUGUUGGGGGUUCAACUCCCUCAGUGCUGCAGUUAACGCGUUAAGUAUCCCGCCUGGGGAUUACGACCGCAAGGUUGAAACUCAAAGGAAUUGACGGGGGCCCGCACAACCGGCGGAGCAUGUGGGUUAAUUCGAAGCGACGCACAGAACAUUACCAGGGUUUGACAUCCUAUGACCAUCUGUGAAAGCAGAGUUUGGCUCUUUGAGUCACAUAGUGACA